Long non-coding RNA from Halichondria panicea, 1414 nucleotides. RefSeq lists it as uncharacterized. The record is from RefSeq and is a predicted model, not a curated record. Lineage: Eukaryota; Metazoa; Porifera; Demospongiae; Suberitida; Halichondriidae. The transcript has 5 exons.
CGGGGGCGGGGCUUCAAUCCAUGCCUAAAUGGGUACUAGCGCAAUUACCUUUGACAUGCCAUUAUUUGUUUAGAUAAGUACAGGUAGAUAAUAACAGAAGCAGAAACGGACAAUAACACCAUGCCUCUUAAGGUGUGCACAUGCGCAUGCCCAUGCAUUGCACGUGACAAUAAAAAGACAGGGAAAGAAGUGGUAGAUUGACCACACCUCUUACACACACUUCAAGACUCAAGGCGUGGCCCCAUCAUCCAGUCAAGUCAUACUGCACUGAAUCAACUACAGUAAUGGCAGCACUCACAGCAUAUCGACUGCCUCAGGGCCCAGCGACUGUGUCUAUGGGAUGUGGUCGGGGAGACACUCAUGACCACUUUCUCUGGUCACAAGGGAAGUGUCAAGUCGGUCUGUGUCAAGGAUGAGCCCAUGUUGUGAAGCUGUGGGACAUGCGACGAUACUACACAAACCACAAAUGUGCCCCACCCCCCUGCUGGCACUCGUUUGUCCCCAUGGAUAGAGGGGGCGUGUCUACAGGUUCAACUUUCUCGUGGCCGAUACCCAUCAAAGCUGUGUCUAUGCCAGUGCCACUGACGGCAUGUAAGAUGUUUUGCUCUACUGUGAGCAGGAUGCCCAAUGUCUUCAGAAUGUACUUGUCCUGUCCUAUAGAAUCAGGUUCACUAUUAGAAAUGACCAUCACCCAUUUUAUAUUUAGAUGCCUCGGUGCUCAUGCGCAAGCGAGGUAUACGUUUGUGUGUCUGUGUGUGUUAUUUGUGGAUUUGUAAAAUAAUGCUUCGUUCUCAAGUUAUUCCUAGCAGCCUUUUCAGAAGAGUACGUAGCAAAACUUGUUCACCGAGUGUUGCUACUCUACUUAGUAGUUAGCUCUGCACUAGAACGCUAGCUAUUGGUAGUUACAAGAGUGAAAAGAAAGCUGCAAGGCUCUGUUCCAGCCAUUUAUUUUAGACUUGAACUUUGUCAUCAAUCGUUUUAACAACAAUCAUCGUCGAUCAUUACCCACUCCCCUAUAAUUCCUCUGAUGAUUCCUGGACUCUGGAUUUUUGCCUGCAUGCAGCAAAAUUAAAAAUGUUCAUCAUGAUAUAAAGUGUGUACAUGUAUAUGUUAUGUACGCCCGCGGUGCUUUCAUUUUAUAUUGCGCUGUGUUCUUCCAAUCUAACUUUUGCAUUCCAUCUCCUAUCACUACACAGCAUCUACAAGUACAGUACAAGCACCCUGGAGCAGGUACCUGUGGAUGGCUACAGUGGACAUGACACAAGAGCUCCUCCACGUUCUACUCUGAGGCCUAUCUCAUGCAGUAGUGGGGAUGGAUUGACUGGCUCCAGCUGCCUACAUCUUGAAGUGGGUUCUUCUACCUACAGUCAAAAAUAGCGGUCACAGAGAAAAUAAUUGAGUAAGGGACUCUCGG